RNAcentral lists this ribosomal RNA (118 nucleotides) under Pseudomonas aeruginosa. The record is from RNAcentral. Lineage: Bacteria; Pseudomonadati; Pseudomonadota; Gammaproteobacteria; Pseudomonadales; Pseudomonadaceae.
CUUGACGAUCAUAGAGCGUUGGAACCACCUGAUCCCUUCCCGAACUCAGAAGUGAAACGACGCAUCGNUAACCGCUGAAAGCCGCUGAAAGCAUCUAAGCGGGAAACUUGCCUCAAGA